UCACCAUUGCUAGAUGGUUACAUCAAUUGGUAUAAAAAAUUAUUCUUAUACUAUCAACCUAGGUUCGAACCUAUGAGAUCACAUGCAUUAGAAGAUUUGGUCAGAUCUGAUAGCUGAAGAGUCUAAUUGGAUUAUGACUCUGGUGACGAGUCCUAUUGGGACCAGGACUCUGGAGGAGAGUCACACUGAGACUGAGACUCUACUUUUAAUAAAAAAUUAAUUAGUAAUUGAUCCAAUUUGAUUGAGUAAAGAGCUUUGGAUUAAGUCUAAUUAAAUUAGAUUCAGUUCGACUCAGAUUGGAUUUGAUAU
RNAcentral lists this long non-coding RNA (309 nucleotides) under Elaeis guineensis (African oil palm). Its description in RNAcentral is "long non-coding RNA (EGUI_LNC055458)". The record is from RNAcentral. Lineage: Eukaryota; Viridiplantae; Streptophyta; Magnoliopsida; Arecales; Arecaceae.